Gadus chalcogrammus (walleye pollock) is the source of this 1311-nucleotide long non-coding RNA. RefSeq lists it as uncharacterized. Lineage: Eukaryota; Metazoa; Chordata; Actinopteri; Gadiformes; Gadidae. The record is from RefSeq and is a predicted model, not a curated record. The transcript is spliced from 3 exons.
CUGCGUCACCGUACACCUUUAUUAAGGCGCGAGUGUUUGGGACUUCUAGAUUGCGUUUAAUUUAGCUUAGCAGUUUCUGCGAUCAGGAUUCUACUUUUUACAGGUUUAAAUUGAACGUCGCUGCGUGCCUCGAUCCAAACGACGCCAGAGAAAUAAGACCAUCAACACUGGAACUCAGACGAGGAUCACCGCAUGCAGUGACGUGUCGACAAGCUGACUUGAAUAUGGGGGGGCCCCCUUUGGGCCCCCCCAGAUCGACGACGACGACUUGAUGGUGAACACUGUGGCAACGAAAUGGAAACGGUGGGGAAAGUGGUGCAGCUUUGGGUGGAUGGAAGCCCAGGCUUGGUUCUCUUACGGAUGCUGAAGGCUAUGAUGCUAAAACGCCCAUGUUGUCAUUUGUAACUAUAGAUGGGCCCUAAGUCAUUAACUGGGUGUUUUUGCUUCUUGUUACUAGUGCAUUUACUGGCACUGCAUCAGUGUUAAUUUCGUUAACGAAAAAUAUGACGAAAAAUGUUCGUCAACGACCUUUUUUCCGUGACUAAGACGAGACGUUGACGAGCUAAAAAUAGAUCUGUGAUAAUAAAAACGAUGACGAAAUGUCAUUUUGUUUUCGUUGACGAGACGAGACAGGACGAAAAUGUUAUUGGUGUGCUAUUUGGACAUUCAAAAUGCACGAUAUUUUCCAAUCAGUACACUCCCGUAAGGUUCUUAUGCAACUGUUCACUCCUCCAGUAAAUAGGACGGACCUUAGCUACGACUUGGCAACGGGAGGUAUGGUCCACUCAGCUAUGAGCUAACGUUAUGCAUUGUACAUGAUUCGAAAUUCUUCCCAGCUUUUAUUCCACAUAUACUAGGGUCUAUAGCAUAUAACCGCGUUGUCUGAUUACAGUUUAAUUCAUUUUUCACAAUUUACCGGCUCUUGUUUUGAAGAAAAUCACCGCGCCAUUCGUUUCAAUGGGAAUCGCCACGGUCUAUACUCUGACUUCAACAUAAGGUGGACUUUGAAAUUCGUCCCAGCCUUUAUACCCAAGAUACUAUCGGGUUUAUAGCAUAUAACCGCGUUUUCUGAUUACAGUUUAAUGCAUUGUUCACAAUUUACCAGCUAUCGUUUUGAAGGCUGAACAGACAAGAGUAGUAAAGUGUGACGUCACGUUUCGAGAGCAACAGAUUUGGUUCUACACAAACCAAAUUAACAAGGGGAAAUCCUAUGGCACACAAACCUUUUAUAGAAAAGGAACAAUCUUUUUGCGAAUUGAUUUGUGAGUUUGCUUUACCAAUGAUGUAAGUAAUAUUGAGAAUAGAUUGUCU